RNAcentral lists this unclassified non-coding RNA (629 nucleotides) under Hevea brasiliensis (rubber tree). Lineage: Eukaryota; Viridiplantae; Streptophyta; Magnoliopsida; Malpighiales; Euphorbiaceae. The record is from RNAcentral.
AGAAAAAAAAAAAAGAAGGAAAAAAACUGCAGUAGAAAAAAAGGACACUGAAUAUUAUUAUCCAGUAAUUACAUAGUAGAAACCCUAAUAGAUAUAAAUUGCAAAGCUUUUUCAAUAACAACACAAAGCAAGACAUUUGCCUCACCAGCUUUACAUGAUGGUAACCUGAAAAAAUGCAAUGUACAAAUCCAGAUCGCACUCUUACUACUUAAAACGAAUUACUUGUGGAAGUAGACUUGCCUAGAUGAUUCACCUUGUCUAUGUCUCAAACAGAAAAGGAACUUAUCAAAUGGCAUCUUCCUUUUUUUUCUAUGAAGAAAAAAUUUUACAUAAAUGUCCUCAUAUAGAAUGAAAUGGCAUGAUGGUGCUGAUUAAGAUCAGUGAUGAGGCCAUAAAUGAAAAUGAUAGUGUUAGUAUUUAGUACAAAGUAUAGUGCCAACAGAAACACAUAAAGAAGAUUCGGGCAAAAAUAAUUUAGUCACACAUGGCAAAGAAUCACAGGUAGAGAAUAAUCAACUGAUUUAAGAAAAUGGUCUGAUUAAACAAAGGCAAAGGAUGGUAACAAAUGAUGCAUUCACAAAAGAUACAUCCUUUGAGUGAAAUCAUGGAACAUAAUGACAGUAGCCGAC